UACGGGGUGAGCAAGCGUUGUUCGGAUUUACUGGGCGUAAAGGGCGCGUAGGCGGUCAGCACAAGUCAGUUGUGAAAUCUCCGGGCUUAACUCGGAAAGGUCAACUGAUACUGUGCGACUAGAGUGCAGAAGGGGCAACUGGAAUUCUCGGUGUAGCGGUGAAAUGCGUAGAUAUCGAGAGGAACACCUGCGGCGAAGGCGGGUUGCUGGGCUGACACUGACGCUGAUGCGCGAAAGCCAGGGGAGCGAACGGG
This 254-nucleotide ribosomal RNA is filed under the name uncultured bacterium. RNAcentral's name for it is "partial 16S ribosomal RNA". It matches the Rfam family "Bacterial small subunit ribosomal RNA", at positions 524 to 776 of the family's 1533-position model. The record is from RNAcentral.